RNAcentral lists this ribosomal RNA (3353 nucleotides) under Fusarium oxysporum f. sp. vasinfectum. It matches the Rfam family "Bacterial large subunit ribosomal RNA". The record is from RNAcentral. Lineage: Eukaryota; Fungi; Ascomycota; Sordariomycetes; Hypocreales; Nectriaceae. RNAcentral also lists the same sequence under 1 other name.
AGCUAUAUAUUAAAGAGAUUUAUUUAUAUAAAUAGGUUUGCUAGCUGAUUGUGUAUAUACGCAGGCCAAUGCUUCUAAUUUCAUAGCAAGCUUGCUUGCUAUGAAAUAGGCAACCAGUAAUAUAAGCAAGUGUGUGCUAUUUAUAGCGCUAGCCUACAAACCUAUAAUUAUAUUAACUCUAAGAGAAAUUUAAUAAUAAACGAAGUGAAUUGAAAUAUCUUAGUAACUUUAGGAAAAGAAAUCAAAAGAGAUUCUAUGAUUAGCGUGAGCUAAAAUAGACUAGCCUAAAAAGUCAAAUGGUGGAUAAACUGUUUAAAUUAAAUGGGGAACCUUCCUCAAAGGCUAAAUAUAAUGUAUAAGCGAUAGUGGAAAGUACCGUGAGGGAACCAAAACAAAAACAGUGAUUUUAUAAGCAGUUCGGGAAAAUAAAAAAAAGUUAGAACGUACCUUUUGCAUAAUGGGUCACCAAGUUAACAUUAGAUGCGAGUAGGAGGCUUUGCCCAUACAUACGUAGUUAAACCGAGCGUUAAAAUAACGGUAAGUAUCUAAAGUUAGACCCGAAGCCUGGUGAUUUUACCAUAAUCAGGAUUAUAAAAGUCCGAACGGAAUAUUGUAGCAUAAAUAUCCGAAGAAUUAUGGUAGGUGUAGUGAAAGACAAUACUGACCAGGAUAGCUGGUUUUCUGCGAAACCUAUAACAGUAGGCAAUUUAAGUAUAAUAUCUUAGCAGGUACAGAAUUUAAUCUCAGACAAGACAUAAGGCUUAGCUUGCUAGCAAGUAAAGCUCAUGUUUUAUUUUGUACAAAUUGGGGGAUCAUGAAGAUUUUAUCAGUGAGUAUGUAGACUCGGAAUGGCAAAGAUAUAUCUUAAAUCAUCAGACAUAGAAUGAUAAGGUUGUAUGUCAAAAGGGAAACAGCCCAGAACAAGAGUUAAGGUUCCUAAAUUAUUAGUUGAGUGAAAUUAAGAAGGUUUUUAUUAAAGUCGACAAGGAGAUAGGCUUAGAAGCAGCCAUAAUUUUAUGACCUCGUAACAGAGCGCUUGUUAAGUUUUAAAAGCAUCGAAAAUUUAUCGGAUCUAAACAAUAUACCGAAACCUUGUCCAUAUUAUUUUAUAAUUAAAGCUUAAUUAUAAUUAAAUGGGGUAGCAGAACGUUGAGCUAAAUUAAGAUUUUUAUUUUUUAAAUGAAAUUAUAAUAAUUUAACUCAAGUGAUAAUGGUGACAUGAGUAACUAAAAGAAAAAAUAAAAUUUUUCCGCCUAAAGCUUAUGGAUGUAAUUAAGUAACGGCCUCUAAGUUUAUAUUAUCUAAAGAUUUAAACGAUGAGAUAAUCUUUUGUACUAAGGACGACAUUUUAAGUGAAAAAUGUACUGGAAAAAUAGUACUAAAUUAAUGGGUAUAGCUAAUUAGUUAGCUAUAGCUAUAAAUGAAAAGUAACCGUACCUAGAAUCUGAAACAAGUAAGCUAGUAGAGAAUACGAAGGCGUAAAUGAGCUAACAAUCAUAAAGGAACUCGGCAAAUUGACUACCGUAACUUCGGGAUAAGGAGAGCUCAUUAUUCUUGAUUAAUAUCAGGUAAAGAGGAAGAAGCAUGAAAUAGUGUUGUACGACUGUUUAAUUAAAACACAGCACUUUGCUGAAAGAUUAAAAAUCUAAGUAUAGAGUGUGAUGUCUGCCCGGUGCCGGCUGGUUAACAGAUAUAAUUAAAUAUACUAAUAUUUGAUGUAGACGGAAACCCCGGUUAAAGGCGGCCUUAACGUGAGGGUCCUAAGGUAGCGAAAUGCCUUGGCCGUUAAAUGCGGUCUUGCAUGAAUGAUGUAACGAUACAACAGCUGUCUCUAUGAUUGACUCAGUGAAAUUGGAAUAGCUGUGCAGAUACAGUUUACCUCUAGUUAGACGAGAAGACCCUAUGCAGCUUUACUGUCACUAAUUAUAGAGUAUGAUAAACAAUUUUCAGAUUAUAAGGUAAUUGACGGCUAGCUUGUUCAGCAAGCUAGCUCUAUGACAAUGAGAAUCCUUUAUUUUUUUUUCAUAUGAAUGAAUUGGUUUAGGAUUAUGAGUAGGUAGCGGCUUCUGCUACUUGGCGUAAGCAUUGCUUGCGUCAGGUGUCUGAAGUAUGCAUUCCAGCUCAUGCAUAGUAAAUCAACCUAAUUCAGCUUAUUUUCCUUUCUGCCAUAAGCGCAUAAUGAUAGAUUUAACUUAAAUUUUGAUUUAUGCCGAGCCCCUCCGGGGCUACUGCAGAAAUAGAUAAGUACCCUUGGCUAAGGAACUAUCGCUAGGGGACAGUUUAUGUGGGGCACAGACCCUGUAAAGAGUAAACAGGAGUGUCUAAUAAUUUAUAAUUAUUUUGUUUGCGAUUUAAGAUAGUGAAACUAUUUUUAAUCAUAUAAAAUUAUUUAUAUGUACAUUCGUUGUAUAUAUAUUUAAAAAAAGGUAGGAUUUUCACUAUAUAGAAAUUAGAGAUAAUAAAAAUAUUAAGAAUAUACGUUUCAGGCUGGGAGGGGGAAGCUCCUCCCUUUGAAAGGUAGCACUAAUAUUUUUUAGCUAUUAAGACAGGCUAUCAAGCUAGGCUCUAAUAGUUAUGUAUUAAUUAUCUAAAAAGCUCAACGGCUAAAUCUUGCCUUACUGUUUGAUUAUCAACAAAUCUUACAGUUGCGUAAGCAGGGCAUAGGAUCACAAGAUGCAACAAGGAAAGAUCUUGGAUUAUUGGAAAAGCUACGCUAGGGAUAACAGGCUAAUUUGCGCAAGAGUGUACAAAAUGAGUGCGCGGUUUGGCACCUCGAUGUCGGCUUAACUUAUCCUCAUGGAUGCAGGAACUAUGUAGGGUGCGACUGUUCGUCGAUUAAAAAGUUACAUGAGCUGGGUUAAAUACGUCGUGAGACAGUAUGGUUUCUAUCUUCUAGGGGGAAUUAGAAUAUAAUAAGAACUAACUUUUGUACGAAAGGAACAAGAAGAAUUUAAUUUGUAAAAGGGUUAAAUAAUAGUUACUAACCUAUGGUUUACCUGUUGUCUAUGUGCCCAAAUAUUAAAAUAUAUAUGGAGGAAGCUCCUUAAGAGCUUCCCCCGCAAAUUAUAUAUAUCUGUAUAGCUAGCCUGCGGACUCCGGUUAUGCCUGAGUUUGGCAAGCUAAAGCUAUACAUAGGGAUGUUUCUUUCACUAAGAUAAAUAUAUAGCAUAGGCACGGCAGGAAAGCUAAGUUGGUUAAGGAUAAGUGCUGAAAGCAUAUAGGCACGAAGCUUAUCUUAAGAUAUUUCUUAAAUAUACGUAAAAUAUUAUUACGAAGGAUGUAAUAUAGGCUUUAUCCGUACGAAUCAGGAGAUUUUUAAGAAUAAAGUACUAAUUUUAUAAAUAACUAUUUAU